This 507-nucleotide ribosomal RNA is filed under the name uncultured bacterium. RNAcentral's name for it is "partial 16S ribosomal RNA". It matches the Rfam family "Bacterial small subunit ribosomal RNA", at positions 28 to 507 of the family's 1533-position model. The record is from RNAcentral.
GACGAACGCUGGCGGCGUGCUUAACACAUGCAAGUCGAACGGUGAAGGGGUCUGCUUUUGUGGGCCCUGGAUGCGUGGCGCACGGGUGAGUAACACGUGAGUAACCUGCCCCCUUCUUCUGGAUAACCGCAUGAAAGUGUGGCUAAUACGGGAUAUUCUGGGUCUGUCGCAUGCUGGGGCUGGGAAAGAUUUCGCCGUUGGGUGUUUUUGGUGGGGGAUUGGCUCGCGGCGUAUCAGCUAGUUGGUGGGGUAAUGGCCUCCCAGGGCGGCCACGGGUAGCCGGCCUGAGAGGAGGAUGGGCACAACGGGAACUGGGACACGGUCCAGACUCCUACGGGAGGCAGCAGUGGGGAAGAUUGGGCAAUGGGCGAAAGCCUGACGGAGCAAUGCCGCGUGAGUGAAGAAGGUCUUCGGAUCGUAAAGCGCUGUUAUUAGGGAAGAAAAGAUGUAGAUGGAUAUGUGGCCAUCGGGACGGUACCGAAUGAGAAAGCCACGGCUAACUUCGUG